UUUUAAGAAGAGGUAGAGAGAGAAAGAGCAAGAGAAAGGGGCAAGAGGAAGAGAAGUGGGUUGUAGAGAAGACUUGAAGAACCAAGAGGAGUUAGAGAUUCUAGGAGCUUAAUUGAAGCUUUGGCUAGGAUUAUUGCUUAUUGAAACGUUUUGUAGGAUUAGAUUGCUUUCGGUGAGUUGCUUGGUGAUUGCUUGGAUAGCGGGAGCUAAUCUCCGUUAUCGGUUCUUUAGAGUCUUAGAGUAGGCUCUGAUCUAGGAUGUCUAUCUUUAUGAUUAUUCUGAAUUUAUUUAUGUUGUGGAGAUUUUACCCAUAUGUCGGGAUUUGAAGAUUUUAUAUGUCGAUGUAUAUUGUUCUUUGACAUGUAUAUUUUGAGAUGUAUGAUUUAUAUCCGCUGCGACUGUUGAGAAAUUUUAUAUAUGCAUGUUUUUGAUGUUUU
RNAcentral lists this long non-coding RNA (437 nucleotides) under Medicago truncatula (barrel medic). RNAcentral describes it as "lncRNA gene39869". The record is from RNAcentral. Lineage: Eukaryota; Viridiplantae; Streptophyta; Magnoliopsida; Fabales; Fabaceae.